This 180-nucleotide non-coding RNA is filed under the name Rhodovulum sp. RNAcentral also lists the same sequence under 1 other name. The record is from RNAcentral. Lineage: Bacteria; Pseudomonadati; Pseudomonadota; Alphaproteobacteria; Rhodobacterales; Paracoccaceae.
UAUAAGCCGCGCCCGCCGGGUACCCCGCUUGCGGGGAGAAUCGGGAAGCCGGUGCCAAACCGGCGCGGGCCCGCCGCUGUGACGGGGAUGCCGCAGGCGAUUGCCACUGGAGCGAUCCGGGAAGGCGCCUGCGUGCAGACGAUCCGAAGCCAGAAGACCGGCCCGGCAAGAUGGCCGCCC